Tachyglossus aculeatus (Australian echidna) is the source of this 139-nucleotide small nucleolar RNA. NCBI's taxonomy places the organism in Eukaryota, Metazoa, Chordata, Mammalia, Monotremata, Tachyglossidae. The record is from RefSeq and is a predicted model, not a curated record.
CCCCUCUCAGGAUCGCACCUGGAGAGAUUCCAAGUCCUCUACCAGUCUCUGCUACAGGAGGAAGAGUCAAGAAGGGGCAUACCCAUUCCAUUCCUAGCUUGGACAGUGGCUAGUGAGUGGAAGGCAAUCUGCCACAAGU